UACGUAUGGGGCGAGCGUUGUCCGGAAUCAUUGGGCGUAAAGGGUACGCAGGCGGAUAAGAAAGUUAGAAGUGAAAUCCUAUAGCUCAACUAUAGUACGCUUUUAAAACUGCUAAUCUUGAGGUAUGGAAGGGAAAGUGGAAUUCCUAGUGUAGCGGUGAAAUGCGUAGAUAUUAGGAGGAAUACCGGUGGCGAAGGCGACUCUCUGGCCAUAAACUGACGCUGAGGUACGAAAGCGUGGGGAGCAAACAGG
RNAcentral lists this ribosomal RNA (252 nucleotides) under uncultured bacterium. RNAcentral's name for it is "partial 16S ribosomal RNA". It matches the Rfam family "Bacterial small subunit ribosomal RNA", at positions 524 to 776 of the family's 1533-position model. The record is from RNAcentral.